UAACACAUGCAAGUCGAACGAACCUUCGGGUUAGUGGCGGACGGGUGAGUAACGCGUGGGAAUCUGCCCUCAGGAGGGGGAUAACGGCCGGAAACGGCCGCUAAUACCCCAUAUGCCGAGAGGUGAAAUGAAUUUCGCCUGAGGAUGAGCCCGCGUCUGAUUAGCUAGUUGGUGAGGUAAGAGCUCACCAGGGCAUCGAUCAGUAGCUGGUCUGAGAGGAUGAUCAGCCACACUGGGACUGAGACACGGCCCAGACUCCUACGGGAGGCAGCAGUGGGGAAUUUUCCGCAAUGGGCGAAAGCCUGACGGAGCAACGCCGCGUGAGGGAUGAAGGCCUCUGGGCUGUAAACCUCUUUUAUCAAGGAAGAAGAUCUGACGGUACUUGAUGAAUAAGCCACGGCUAAUUCCGUGCCAGCAGCCGCGGUAAUACGGGAGUGGCAAGCGUUAUCCGGAAUUAUUGGGCGUAAAGCGUCCGCAGGCGGCCCUACAAGUCUGCUGUUAAAAAGUGGAGCUUAACUCCAUCAUGGCAGUGGAAACUGUUGGGCUCGAGUGUGGUAGGGGCAGAGGGAAUUCCCGGUGUAGCGGUGAAAUGCGUAGAUAUCGGGAAGAACACCAGUGGCGAAGGCGCUCUGCUGGGCCAUCACUGACGCUCAUGGACGAAAGCCAGGGGAGCGAAAGGGAUUAGAUACCCCUGUAGUCCUGGCCGUAAACGAUGAACACUAGGUGUCGGGGGAAUCGACCCCUCCGGUGUCGUAGCCAACGCGUUAAGUGUUCCGCCUGGGGAGUACGCACGCAAGUGUGAAACUCAAAGGAAUUGACGGGGGCCCGCACAAGCGGUGGAGUAUGUGGUUUAAUUCGAUGCAACGCGAAGAACCUUACCAGGAUUUGACAUCCUGCGAAUCUCUUGGAAACUUGAGAGUGCCUUCGGGAACGCAGUGACAGGUGGUGCAUGGCUGUCGUCAGCUCGUGUCGUGAGAUGUUGGGUUAAGUCCCGCAACGAGCGCAACCCACGUCUUUAGUUGCCAGCAUUUAGUUGGGCACUCUAGAGAGACCGCCGGUGAUAAACCGGAGGAAGGUGUGGAUGACGUCAAGUCAUCAUGCCCCUUACAUCCUGGGCUACACACGUACUACAAUGCUACGGACAAAGGGCAGCAAGUUCGCGAGGCCAAGCAAAUCCCAUAAACCGUAGCUCAGUUCAGAUCGUAGGCUGCAACUCGCCUACGUGAAGGAGGAAUCGCUAGUAAUCGCAGGUCAGCAUACUGCGGUGAAUACGUUCCCGGGCCUUGUACACACCGCCCGUCACACCAUGGAAGUUGGCCAUGCCCGAAGCCGUUACUCCAACCCUUGUGGAGGAGGACGUCGAAGGUGGGGCUGAUGACUGGGGUG
This 1386-nucleotide ribosomal RNA is filed under the name uncultured Synechococcus sp. Its description in RNAcentral is "bacterial SSU rRNA". It matches the Rfam family "Bacterial small subunit ribosomal RNA". The record is from RNAcentral. Lineage: Bacteria; Bacillati; Cyanobacteriota; Cyanophyceae; Synechococcales; Synechococcaceae.